RNAcentral lists this ribosomal RNA (253 nucleotides) under uncultured bacterium. RNAcentral describes it as "partial 16S ribosomal RNA". It matches the Rfam family "Bacterial small subunit ribosomal RNA", at positions 524 to 776 of the family's 1533-position model. The record is from RNAcentral.
UACGAAGGGGGCUAGCGUUGCUCGGAAUCACUGGGCGUAAAGGGUGCGUAGGCGGGUCUUUAAGUCAGGGGUGAAAUCCUGGAGCUCAACUCCAGAACUGCCUUUGAUACUGAAGAUCUUGAGUUCGGGAGAGGUGAGUGGAACUGCGAGUGUAGAGGUGAAAUUCGUAGAUAUUCGCAAGAACACCAGUGGCGAAGGCGGCUCACUGGCCCGAUACUGACGCUGAGGCGCGAAGGCGUGGGGAGCAAACAGG